UUUUGCAUAUCAAAAAGCGGAGGAAAAGAAACUAACAAGGAUUCCCCUAGUAACGGCGAGUGAACCGGGAAGAGCUCAAAUUUGAAAUCUGGCGUGCUCAGUGCGUCCGAGUUGUAAUCUAUAGAGUCGUUUUCCGUGCCGGACUGUGUCCAAGUCCCUUGGAACAGGGUAUCAAAGAGGGUGAUAAUCCCGUACUUGACACAAUGACCGGUGCUCUGUGAUACGUCUUCUACGAGUCGAGUUGUUUGGGAAUGCAGCUCAAAAUGGGUGGUGAGUUCCAUCUAAAGCUAAAUAUUGGCGAGAGACCGAUAGCGAACAAGUACCGUGAGGGAAAGAUGAAAAGCACUUUGGAAAGAGAGUUAAACAGUACGUGAAAUUGUUAAAAGGGAAACGAUUGAAGUCAGUCGUGACUGAGAGGCUCAGCCGGUUCUGCCGGUGUAUUCCCCUCAGUCGGGUCAACAUCAGUUUUGUUCGGUGGAUAAGGGCAGUUGGAAGGUGGCACCCUCGGGUGUGUUAUAGCCAGCUGUCGCAUACAUCGGAUGAGACUGAGGAAUGCAGCUCGCCUUUAUGGCCGGGGUUCGCCCACGUUCGAGCUUAGGAUGUUGACAUAAUGGCUUUAAACGACCCGUCUUGAAACACGGAC
Molecule: ribosomal RNA, 643 nt
Filed under: Papiliotrema flavescens
Lineage: Eukaryota; Fungi; Basidiomycota; Tremellomycetes; Tremellales; Rhynchogastremaceae
Description: eukaryotic LSU rRNA
Rfam family: Eukaryotic large subunit ribosomal RNA
Source: RNAcentral